CACCAGGCCCUUCUAAGGGCCACCGUACCUUAAGCUGUGGUCACUG
Non-coding RNA from Operophtera brumata (winter moth), 46 nucleotides. The record is from Rfam. Lineage: Eukaryota; Metazoa; Arthropoda; Insecta; Lepidoptera; Geometridae.